This 402-nucleotide ribosomal RNA is filed under the name uncultured bacterium. RNAcentral's name for it is "bacterial SSU rRNA". It matches the Rfam family "Bacterial small subunit ribosomal RNA", at positions 355 to 774 of the family's 1533-position model. The record is from RNAcentral.
UGGGGAAUAUUGCACAAUGGGGGAAACCCUGAUGCAGCAACGCCGCGUGAGUGAUGACGGCCUUCGGGUUGUAAAGCUCUGUCUUCAGGGACGAUAAUGACGGUACCUGAGGAGGAAGCCACGGCUAACUACGUGCCAGCAGCCGCGGUAAUACGUAGGUGGCAAGCGUUGUCCGGAUUUACUGGGCGUAAAGGGAGCGUAGGAGGACUUUUAAGUGAGAUGUGAAAUACCCGGGCUCAACCUGGGUGCUGCAUUUCAAACUGGAAGUCUAGAGUACAGGAGAGGAGAGUGGAAUUCCUAGUGUAGCGGUGAAAUGCGUAGAGAUUAGGAAGAACACCAGUGGCGAAGGCGACUCUCUGAACUGUAACUGACGCUGAGGCUCGAAAGCGUGGGGAGCAAACA